RNAcentral lists this unclassified non-coding RNA (439 nucleotides) under uncultured fungus. RNAcentral describes it as "sequence contains 18S rRNA gene, ITS1, 5.8S rRNA gene, ITS2, 28S rRNA gene". The record is from RNAcentral. Lineage: Eukaryota; Fungi.
UGAUGGUGUCCGUCAUCUACCAGCACACCGACUCGGUCGCCGGCUGGAGCAAAUACGAGAUGAUGCUCCUCGUCGGCACCUCGCUGCUCAUCCAGCGCUUCCUGAUGGGCUUUUUCUGGAGCAGCAUCUUUGAGAUGGGCCGCAACAUCCGCAGCGGCAACUUCGACUUCUUCCUCGCCCAGCCGGGCAACGUCAUGUUCAUGGCCACGACCCGCAAGCUCGACCCCGACGGCCUGAUGAACUCGUUCGUCGCGAUGGGCGUUGUUGUCUACUCCGCCCGCCAGCUUGGCCUGCACCCGGGCGCGGCGGAUCUCGCACUCUACGCGCUGCUGGUCGGCUGCGGCGUGAUCAUCCACUACAGCAUGCUGGUGCUGUGCAUCGCGCCAGCCUUCUGGAUUACCAGCGCGCAGGGCAUCGAGGGCAGCUAUUUCACGCUCAG